Molecule: non-coding RNA, 51 nt
Filed under: unclassified sequences
Description: eL15-Euryarchaeota ribosomal protein leader
Rfam family: eL15-Euryarchaeota ribosomal protein leader
Source: RNAcentral
CGGACCAUCAGAGUCCGUUGGGAUGUGGCCCAUAUUGGGCUGAACCGUAAA